Molecule: long non-coding RNA, 525 nt
Filed under: Rattus norvegicus (Norway rat)
Lineage: Eukaryota; Metazoa; Chordata; Mammalia; Rodentia; Muridae
Description: long non-coding RNA NONRATT019475
Source: RNAcentral
CAACCUUCUGUGCAGUGGGAGUCAGCAAGAGGGAGAAAGAGGCUAAGGCCCAGAGGCACUAUUCCACAAUGUCUGGGGUCCUGACCCCUCAUGACCAGAGAAUCAGAGCAGAUUCCACAGACUUGAGGACUCCUGCUUCCAAACUCCCUGACCCUGUAGUCUCUCUGUAGUCUGUCCCUUAAAAGCACAGCUUUUUCUGUCCCCACUCAAGUGACAAGGUAUUUUUGCCUGUAGCUAGGUAAUAGUAAUAGAUCAAGGGCCCAAGGUAGCCUGCUAAGGAAAAUGCUUUCCCAGCCUCAGGAGGGGCCAGCCAGCAUUUGAGGCUAUGGUGACAGCCUCAACCUCCCUCAGCUCAGCAGACUUAAUAUUCCCAUCCAGAUGGUUCUCUCAGGUGAGGCUAAAACAAGUUCCUCCAAUAAAAGAUAAGGUCAAGAGUCAGCAGCUGUGGGGUUGGGGAUUUAGCUCAGUGGUAGAGCGCUUGCCUAGGAAGUGCAAGGCCCUGGGUUCGGUCCCCAGCUCUGAAAA